CGUAGGUGGCAAGCGUUGUCCGGAAUUAUUGGGCGUAAAGCGCGCGCAGGCGGUCCUUUAAGUCUGAUGUGAAAGCCCACGGCUCAACCGUGGAGGGUCAUUGGAAACUGGGGGACUUGAGUACAGAAGAGAAGAGUGGAAUUCCACGUGUAGCGGUGAAAUGCGUAGAGAUGUGGAGGAACACCAGUGGCGAAGGCGACUCUUUGGUCUGUAACUGACGCUGAGGCGCGAAAGCGUGGGGAGCAAACAGGAUUAGAUACCCUCGUAGUCCACGCCGUAAACGAUGAGUGCUAAGUGUUAGAGGGUUUCCGCCCUUUAGUGCUGCAGCAAACGCAUUAAGCACUCCGCCUGGGGAGUACGGCCGCAAGGCUG
RNAcentral lists this ribosomal RNA (372 nucleotides) under uncultured organism. Its description in RNAcentral is "bacterial SSU rRNA". It matches the Rfam family "Bacterial small subunit ribosomal RNA", at positions 526 to 896 of the family's 1533-position model. The record is from RNAcentral.